This 434-nucleotide ribosomal RNA is filed under the name uncultured bacterium. RNAcentral's name for it is "partial 16S ribosomal RNA". It matches the Rfam family "Bacterial small subunit ribosomal RNA", at positions 29 to 507 of the family's 1533-position model. The record is from RNAcentral.
AGCGAACGCUGGCGGCAGGCCUAACACAUGCAAGUCGAACGAAACUUUCGGGGUUAGUGGCGGUGGGGUGAGUACCACGUGGGAACGUGCCUUUAGGUUAGGUACAACUCAGGGUAACUUGAGCUAAUACCGAAUGUGCUCUUCGGGGGUAAGAUCAGUUGCUGUUGGAGCGGCCGGCGUCUGUUUAGUUAGUUGGUUGUGGUAAUGCCUCACCACAGCGACGAUCAGUAGCUGGUCUGUGAGGAGGCUCAGCCACAUUGGGACUGAGACACGGUCCAAACUCCGACGGGAGGCAGCAGAGGGGAAUCUUGCGCGAGGGACGAAGGCCUGACGCAGCCAUGCCGCGGAAAUGAUGAAGGUCGUAGGAUAGUAAAAUUCUUUCAGCGGGAACGAUAAUGACGGUACCCGGAGAAGAAGCCCCGGCUAACUACGUG